RNAcentral lists this ribosomal RNA (497 nucleotides) under uncultured bacterium. RNAcentral describes it as "partial 16S ribosomal RNA". It matches the Rfam family "Bacterial small subunit ribosomal RNA", at positions 28 to 507 of the family's 1533-position model. The record is from RNAcentral.
GAUGAACGCUGGCGGCGUGCCUAAUACAUGCAAGUCGAGCGAACGGACGGAGAGCUUUCUUCUCUGCUGUUAGCGGCGGACGGGUGAGUCACACGUGGAUAACCGACCUAUAAGACUGAGGUAACUUCGGGAGACCGAAGCUCAUACCGGAUCAUAUUUUGAACCGCAUGGUUCAACAGUGAAAAACGGCCUUGCUGUCCCUUAUAGAUAGUUCCUCGCUGCAUUAGCUAGUUGGUAAGGUAACGGCUUACCAAGGCAACGAUGCAUAGCCGACCUGAGAGGGUGAUCGGCCACACUGGAACUGAGACACGGUCCAGACUCCUACGGGAGGCAGCAGUAGGGAAUCUUCCGCAAUGGGCGAAAGCCUGACGGAGCAAUGCCGCGUGAGUGAUGAAGGUCUUCGGAUCGUAAAACUCUGUUAUUAGGGAAGAACAUAUGUGUAAGUAACUGUGCACAUCUUGACGGUACCUAAUCAGAAAGCCACGGCUAACUACGUG